RNAcentral lists this ribosomal RNA (486 nucleotides) under Priestia megaterium. Its description in RNAcentral is "bacterial SSU rRNA". It matches the Rfam family "Bacterial small subunit ribosomal RNA", at positions 27 to 494 of the family's 1533-position model. Lineage: Bacteria; Bacillati; Bacillota; Bacilli; Caryophanales; Bacillaceae. The record is from RNAcentral.
GGAUGAACGCUGGCGGCGUGCCUAAUACAUGCAAGUCGAGCGAACUGAUUAGAAGCUUGCUUCUAUGACGUUAGCGGCGGACGGGUGAGUAACACGUGGGCAACCUGCCUGUAAGACUGGGAUAACUUCGGGAAACCGAAGCUAAUACCGGAUAGGAUCUUCUCCUUCAUGGGAGAUGAUUGAAAGAUGGUUUCGGCUAUCACUUACAGAUGGGCCCGCGGUGCAUUAGCUAGUUGGUGAGGUAACGGCUCACCAAGGCAACGAUGCAUAGCCGACCUGAGAGGGUGAUCGGCCACACUGGGACUGAGACACGGCCCAGACUCCUACGGGAGGCAGCAGUAGGGAAUCUUCCGCAAUGGACGAAAGUCUGACGGAGCAACGCCGCGUGAGUGAUGAAGGCUUUCGGGUCGUAAAACUCUGUUGUUAGGGAAGAACAAGUACRAGAGUAACUGCUYGUACCUUGACGGUACCUAACCAGAAAGCCAC